RNAcentral lists this long non-coding RNA (233 nucleotides) under Lathyrus oleraceus (garden pea). Its description in RNAcentral is "Pisum sativum (pea) long non-coding RNA (PSAT_LNC009973)". The record is from RNAcentral. Lineage: Eukaryota; Viridiplantae; Streptophyta; Magnoliopsida; Fabales; Fabaceae.
UAAAAAUGGGGUAUCAUGUUUUUAGGAAUAUGUGAAAUUUGAGUUACUUUUUAUUUGAAAAAGUUAUGGUUUUUUUACUUCAAUUUCAUGAUAUAUAUAUUUUUUUAAUUUUCACUUGCAUUGUUGUAACUAUCAGAAAAAGAGAUAAAGUAUUUGUCAUCAAAAUAUUAAAAUGAGUGUUGUCCCCUUUCUACACUUUAGUUUUAUUUUUUUAUUUUUCUUAUAUAUUAUUU